CCUGAGGAUGUUCAGGAAGAAGGCUCUGCAGGUGGCCCCAGAGCCUGAGGGAAGCAGCUGCCACCUUCCCCAGGAGCAGAGCGGCCCCUCCGUCCCCGCUGGCGGGGAAGGAGCUCCCGGCCGGGCCAGGAGGUGGAAGUGCCCAGCCUUCUGGCAAGAGGAAACCCGCUCCCGGCGCAGGCACCGAGGUGGGAGAGGCACCAGCCAGGCCCAAAUGGAGCGGGCUCAGGAUGCAGCUGGGCAGGCAGGACCCAGCCCAGGAGGGGAGCCGGGCAGGGUGGCUCUGGGGCUUGUUGUGUGGGAAGCACCAGCCCCAGGAGCCCAGCCCUGAUUCCCAGCAGGAGGCAUCGCCCUGCCCGGUCACUGAGGACCUUCCAGCUCCCCAGGGCAGGAGGUGGAGGAUCCCUGUCCCAGCACCAGCAGCUCAGCCCGCUCCCCAUGGGACAGCAGCAGCGCCUGGGACGCAGGCAGCAGCGAGGCCAAUGGACGCCGCUGCUUUGUUCCAGGAUGAGGCCCAGCAGCUCAUGUUCCUGCACGCCAUCCACCCCGCGUGUCUCGCUGCACAGCAGAGAGGGCAGGACACGCUGGAGCCUCACUGCUGCAAGGCAGCUGUGGUGGAGAGGAUUGUGGGUCUCACACGAGCUCAUUGAGGAGCUGCCUGAUAAUCUCCACCCGGCGCCAUCCUCACUAAUUCCCUGAUUGCUGUGAGCAACCUCAGCCGCCUUCCCAGCUGUCUUCAAGGCCCUGAGAUCUGGCACAGCCUCCCAGACGGGAUCAUCAUGCAGCUGAGCCACUUCAGGGGGCAGUGGGGACAGGUCACCUCAUCCCAUCAAACCAAGCAGUGCUGGGUCUCAAAGAGGCUGAGAUGGAAGAGCCCCCUCCCUCAUGGAGGAAGGGGCUCCCAGAGACAUCCUCGAACCUGGACUCCUGAGAGUGUUUCCGGCAGUAGGCUCCAGUCCCUCGGGCAUGAAGAGAGCAUCAGGUAGUCUUGUUCACAUGGUAUCUCCGGUCUCCAGAUCCACUUCCUACAGCAGGGCAAACAAACCCAUCAGCUCCCAGAAUCCCAACUCUUUGACCUCCUUCUGCUCAGCUUUGGGGUUUCUCCAGCCCCCUCACCACACCUGUCAGCCUCUGAAUGAUGAGGGGCCAAAAUGUUAGAGUCACCAGAACAAGCAAACUCCAGUUCCAGGCAGUGGGGCCUGUGUGUACUUAGCCUCUCGGGAAACCAGGUCUGAAAUGGGGAGCAAGGACCCGAGCCCAGUAACAGUAGGAGUGGGCAGAGCAGGCCUGUACCAGGGUGCUUUCCCUUGGGCUGCACAGCCGGGGGCUUAGCCAAGCUGAUUACAGAAUGAGCCCUAACUGAGAGGCACCAUGUACCUCCCACUAAAGAGCCAGAUUUCAGUGGUGAUACAGCCCAGAUGAGGUCUCAACAGGAAUGAGAACGAGGUAGGAAGUUCAGAGCAUCAAGGAAAGCCUAGAGGGGAAUUUGGGAAGAGAGGUGGGAAAUGCCCAGGGGAAACUGCAGCAAAGAGAAAGGAGCAGACCGAGCUGUUGGGUACAGGGCUCUGGGCUGCUACCAGUGUCAGGGUGGGACGGCGUUCCUCUACUAGCCCCAAAGAAGGGGGCAUACACACACCUAGAGAGGGUUCUGAGCCCAGCAAUGGGGCUGCAGGCUGAGCAGGAGCCCCAGCAAUGGCAGAAGGACUUCUUUCUGUGGGAAGACCUCUUUGGACUUUUAGUGUGAGACAAGCUGGGCCCCAGAAGGGUGGA
Molecule: long non-coding RNA, 1770 nt
Organism: Mauremys mutica (yellowpond turtle)
Lineage: Eukaryota; Metazoa; Chordata; Testudines; Geoemydidae
Exons: 5
Source: RefSeq, a predicted model, not a curated record